AUUCAGCUAAAGAGUCCCAAAUAAGACGAAACGCGUAUUCUAAAU
This 45-nucleotide non-coding RNA is filed under the name Schistosoma mattheei. Lineage: Eukaryota; Metazoa; Platyhelminthes; Trematoda; Strigeidida; Schistosomatidae. The record is from RNAcentral.